Molecule: long non-coding RNA, 2255 nt
Organism: Mustela lutreola (European mink)
Lineage: Eukaryota; Metazoa; Chordata; Mammalia; Carnivora; Mustelidae
Exons: 5
Source: RefSeq, a predicted model, not a curated record
GCCCCUGCCAGGGGAAAGGGAGACCACCCCUUACCUGGAUCCCCGACGCGGACUGGAUCCCCAGGUGACUGGAGCAAGAACCGCUACGCCCCUGCUUCCCAACGCUCCUGGCUCUGCACCUCGCUUCUAAGUACAGUUCCCAUACCUACCGUAAUCUGGAUCUGGAACACUGUGGAUGGUGAUGAAUGCUUGUCUCUUUUGAUGCUUGCUUCAUAAGUAUUCUGCUAAGAAGCAGGAGCUCUGGAAACUGUUUGGGGCCACAUCUACCCUGUUUUCUCCCAGUGUUACCGUGACUGAACUACAGGAAUGUGAACUGAAGACAAGAAGCCCAGCCUCUCCCGGCCUUCCUGUUGGGGCCGUGUCUUGCUGCCCAUGAGCUGAGCUGGAGGCCCCAUCCCAGGCCAUGCAUCUCCUGUUGGGCUCUGACCCACGUGCUUCUUAGUCCUGGCGGAACAUUCUAACCACCUGGGGGAGCUUUGAAGCCUACACUUGCCCAGAACCCAGGACGUGGAGCUCAUGGAUGGAUUUAGAAAGCCCCCAGGUGAUUCUAAUACGUAGCGGGGGGAGUGGUGGUGGUGCUCAGGUGUAGCCAUGGUUCCAGCCUUUCUGAACUUCUCCCCAGUGGAUCUGCGCAUGUGUCCAUCCUCCCACAUGCAGCACACACUGUCUUCCCCUCCACAAAGCCUUCUUCCAGCUUUUCUAACUGGCGUUCUCUCCCCUGGGAAGGCUCAGCACAAAUGCUCUUGGAGAGAACUUGCAGUCCUCUCCUCUGGGCUUCCUAUUUGUGCAUCACUUCUAUGGACCCUUGAACCUGCUGGGUCCCAUUGCUCGGCUUGUUCUCCUUGGACUGUGAGCUCUUGACCGUGAUGGUCUGGUAUGCCCAGUUUCUGACAGGGCCAGGGACAAAACUGUGCUUGGUGAUGGAAGGUUGAUGGAUGUCCCAAUGAGUGUCCUGCUCAGAGAGCCAGUCUUCAUGUAGCUGAGACCUUCACCCUUCCAAAUGCUGACCUUUCUGAAGAGCCCUGGAGGCUGUGAGGCAGGGUCUCACACAGGGUGUACAUGUUCAUGCUCCCCAGGCCUGGGAGAGGGGAGGGGGCCACGCGGAGUGGGAUUUGAGGGAAGGGCCUUCUCCCUCCUCCCAACCCCUGCAUAAAAAUCUCUCCUAUAUGAUGGAAGGCUCAGUCCUUAGUUUCCAUGCUUCGAAAACCUAUGCUUGAAGCAAAGAUUUAAAAAUAAAACCACCUUUUCCUGAGGACUCAGCUUACAUCAGUGAUACAUGCAAUAUUCCAUUUAAUCAUCAUUGCCGUCUUGUGUUCACCUGUCCUUACGGGCCGGUGAGGAAACAGAGGCUCUUGGAUAUUGAUUUAUAUACCAGAGACUGCUUGGGCUCACCGAUACCCCGUCUCCUCCUCCUCUGAGGAUCGUAGAUGAUAUUCUUCUGGUCUCCUUUGCAGUCCAUGGAUAUAGGAGGGUGGAGGCAGGGGGCUUGGCCCUUCAUCAGGUUGUGGUCCAUUAAAAAUAAAAUAGUCCCGGGGCGCCUGGGUGGCUCAGUGGGUUAAAGCCUCUGCCUUCAGCUCAGGUCGUGGUGGUCUCAGGGUCCUGGGAUCAAGCCCCACAUCGGGUUCUCUGCUUGGCGGGGAGCCUGCUUCCUCCUCUCUCUCUGCCUACUUGUGAUCUCUGUCUGUCAAGUGAAUAAAUAAAAUCUUAAAAAAUAAAAUAAAAAAAAAUAGUCAUUCACAGGGUCUUGGAUCUUUCUCCCUCAACCAGCUCAGUGGAGAGGAUGUUAAAGAUUCUGAGGAUCUGGAAGAGCAAGCCGCAGGAUGAAAGGGGGCUGGGGCUCUGAGGGACGGCGUGAAACAGCCGUUUCCAUCACUGACCCACAGCUGACGGCUGUGUAAUGCUUUGAUUAUCAUUUGUCUGCAAGAGGUGAGGACCCACGUGGAUGUCUACCCGCCUUCUUUAGCCCCUGAGCACAGGACCUGGCAUGGGACAAACUCUCCAUAGGACGCUGCUGAAUGAAUGAAAAAUGAGGACUAUAUGAAAAUAUUGUGUGCAGAGUACUUAGCACUCUUCUUGGCAUUAGUAGGCAUCAACAGAUACUAGCUGUUGUUGAUAGUAUUACUCUGUGGGCUUGAUGGAAAUUAAAAAAAAAACUUGUCUAAAUCAUAAGUGUUCUUCUUACUUGGGUUGCCCCCGCUGUGCCAGUUUGGGGAUUAAUGAAUCUGGAAGAAAAUACAGACACACACAGAUACACA